Molecule: ribosomal RNA, 901 nt
Filed under: Scedosporium boydii
Lineage: Eukaryota; Fungi; Ascomycota; Sordariomycetes; Microascales; Microascaceae
Description: eukaryotic LSU rRNA
Rfam family: Eukaryotic large subunit ribosomal RNA
Source: RNAcentral
UUGACCUCGGAUCAGGUAGGGUUACCCGCUGAACUUAAGCAUAUCAAUAAGCGGAGGAAAAGAAACCAACAGGGAUUGCCUCAGUAACGGCGAGUGAAGCGGCAACAGCUCAAAUUUGAAAUCUGGCGGCCUCUGGGCCGUCCGAGUUGUAAUUUGAAGAGGAUGCUUUUGGCGAGGCGCCUUCCGAGUGCCCUGGAACGGGACGCCACAGAGGGUGAGAGCCCCGUAUGGUUGGACGCCGAGCCUCUGUAAAGCUCCUUCGACGAGCCCUGAACGGACGCCACAGAGGGUGAGAGCCCCGUAUGGUUGGACGCCGAGCCUCUGUAAAGCUCCUUCGACGAGUCGAGUAGUUUGGGAAUGCUGCUCAAAAUGGGAGGUAAACCCCUUCUAAAGCUAAAUACUGGCCAGAGACCGAUAGCGCACAAGUAGAGUGAUCGAAAGAUGAAAAGCACUUUGAAAAGAGAGUUAAAUAGCACGUGAAAUUGUUGAAAGGGAAGCGCUUGCGACCAGACUUGUGCCCGUCGAAUCAGCCGCCGCUCGCCGGCGGCGCACUUCGGCGGGCUCAGGCCAGCAUCAGUUCGCUGCAGGGGGAGAAAGGCGGCGGGAAUGUGGCUCUUCGGAGUGUUAUAGCCCGCCGCGCAAUACCCCUCGGCGGACUGAGGACCGCGCAUCUGCAAGGAUGCUGGCGUAAUGGUCGUCAGCGACCCGUCUUGAAACACGGACCAAGGAGUCGUCCUAAUAUGCGAGUGUUCGGGUGUAAAACCCCUGCGCGUAAUGAAAGUGAACGGAGGUGAGAGCUUCGGCGCAUCAUCGACCGAUCCUGAUGUUCUCGGAUGGAUUUGAGUAAGAGCAUAUUGGGCCGGACCCGAAAGAAGGUGAACUAUGCCUGUAUAGGGUAAAG